UAGUCCACGCUGUAAACGAUGGUUACUAGCUGUUUGGGAGCAAUCCUGAGUGGCUAAGCGAAAGUGAUAAGUAACCCACCUGGGGAGUACGAUCGCAAGAUUGAAACUCAAAGGAGUUGACGGGGGCCCGCACAAGCGGUGGAGCAUGUGGUUUAAUUCGAUGAUACGCGAGGAACCUUACCAGGGCUUAAAUGUGGAUUGACAGGUUUAGAGAUAGACUUUUCUUCGGACAAUUCACAAGGUGCUGCAUGGUUGUCGUCAGCUCGUGCCGUGAGGUGUCAGGUUAAGUCCUAUAACGAGCGCAACCCCUGUUGUUAGUUACCAGCACGUAGUGGUGGGGACUCUAACAAGACUGCCGGUGCAAACCGUGAGGAAGGUGGGGAUGACGUCAAAUCAUCACGGCCCUUACGUCCUGGGCUACACACGUGCUACAAUGGUAGGUACAGAGAGCAGCCACUACGCAAGUAGGAGCGAAUCUAUAAAACCUAUCUCAGUUCGGAUCGGAGU
Molecule: ribosomal RNA, 507 nt
Filed under: uncultured bacterium
Lineage: Bacteria
Description: bacterial SSU rRNA
Rfam family: Bacterial small subunit ribosomal RNA
Source: RNAcentral